CUCCUGGAUCGUGGCAAUGGGCAGCCACAGAGCAGAAAGUGGCGGACUUGGGCGGCCACAGGUAACUUUCUCGCAAGGAGCUGAAUUCUUUCACUAAAGGGUACAAGCCCGAGGGACGAGCUGCGCCGUGAUUGGCUGCGGGGCUCCCUCAGGUGAGCUGCCAUUGGCAGAGGCGCGCUCAGAGGUCGGCGGGUGCUGGAGGUGCUUGGGAGAGAAGGAACCAGGAGAAGAGCAACACCUGCAGCCACCGGGGAUUGUGGGUCGAACGGACAAGAAGAGCUGAGCUCAAGUAUUCCAAGCCAUCCGGAAUCAAAUGCACAGCACAACCUCAAGGCUUUUAAUACUCCACAUUAACAGGACUAUUUAAAACAGUUCAGAAGGGUACAGGGCUGAACUUUACUUUGUGCUCAGGGAGGGGGCAAACACAAAGAUCGCCAGGUUUUUUGUGUAAUUGCAUUUUUAAUAUUCUUAUCCACAACAAACACUUUUCAUGUCCCUGUGUGAAAAAGAUACCAGGUAACUUGCAGGUUUUCAUAUACAGUGAGCAUCCUUUCAGCAACUGGACAGAUGGGGAAUGGAGUGCUUUUAAUGGGGUGAGGAAAUUUGGUUGCACAGACACUAAGAUGGCCCAGGCACACCUCUUCCAUCUCAACUCUGCAGCUUGGGAUUCCAGGGUUGCAUACAACCACUGAAUCCCUUCUGUAAACCUGUUUUCAUCUGACGUUUCCAGGCAGGCAUCAACAUUUACAUUGUAAUUCAAUUGAAGCGGUGACUACAAAGGUGCUUUAUUCUCCAGCUUAAUAUGGUUGCUAUAGAAACAAUUCAAGAUACAACUGACUUUUCUGUGGUUCUGUUUCUCCUGGUUGGGGACAACAGGAAUUAGCACAGUUGCAAUUUCUUACCACUUACCACUGCUCCCAAAAAGUGUUUGUGGAAGAUCUGACAGGUUUCUAGUCUAUGUGUGUGAAUUGUGGAAGUAAAGGAGGGCAGGGAAAGUGUAUCAUAUUUUAUUGUAAGUUAAUAUUGCAUUGGCAAUAAUGAUAAAAUUUCUAUUUUAAUCUUUAUUGAUGAGAUAUUUCCUGAAAAUUAUAUUAUGGGACAAGGUUUGGUUGUUCUAUGUUUCAUUCUCAGCAAAUGAAUUUCAAAAAUGUACUCUUUUUAAAGACAAUAUAAGCACACACACUUAUUUAAAAAGAUAAUAUUUUAAGAUAACACAAUACCCACCUGUCCUCUACCUUCUCCUUUCUAGAGGCAACAACAUUCCAUUUUUAGCUGUCUCUCUGUCACAUACCUCUCUAUUUCUAAAUAAUUUAUACUGCUAUCUCUGAUUUACCAAUUUAAUAUUGCCCAUUGACCACAUGUUGCUUAGAUAAGGAUUUAGCUCUUUCAAGCACCAUCCAGUUUCUCCAUUCUUUCAACAUAGGUCUUUCAAAGCUUAGGAGCAGUGAGUAGUCAGUGACUGUGCAAAUACCAGUCACAACAAAGCCAACUAGUGUACUAUGCUUGUUUUUUCUUAUAAAACCUUUUAUCUAUUUACUUAGUUUGUUAGGCAUCCAUCAUAUUUUUUUCUACAACAUAAAUUUUAAAUGACUAUCAAAUUUAUUUCCCAAAUAAUCAGUCAAUUCUAUUUCCCAUCCCUGGAAAAGCCCUCCAAAAGUCCACUGUCGUUUUCUAAAGAAGAUGAGUUUCUCUCCAGACCUGCUGCUCAGGUGUCAUCCUGGGACACUCCUUCCUCUCCAACAGAACAGGGGCCCUGAGGGUCUAACAGUUCCGAAUGCCUGCAUUCACUCAGGGCCCUGCCUAUCACUUCUUCACUUCAAGCACCCUGGGGCCUCUCAACCUUCUGAUGAUCUCGGGCAUCUCCAAGACCAGGAUUUUCCGGGCCUUUAUAGGGUGAUUGGGUUCUUACUGUACUGACCUCUAGAUAAUAUUAGAGUAUAACUUCCACUGUUCUAGUAAACCAGUUUCCAGCCUUCCAUCCACCCCAUCUUGCAUAAUUGUGUUAAAAUACAUCUUUUGACCCCCUCCUUCAUCUUUUUUGCUCCUGUGGAUUUAUCCUUUAUGGUCCUUUACUUUCCCUUUCAGGAGACAGUGAAGGUAUACAAGUGUGAUUCAAUUUGUCAUCUUUAAUUUGAAGCCAUUUCCAAAAUUAUCCAAAAGUUUUAUCAAACUGUCCUAAAUUUGUUUGUGCAAAUAAAACCAGCAUUUAUGGCCAAACCUUUCUUGUUAUUGGUCAGUAAUGGCCAAGAUUCCUUUCUUCCUUUCCAACAGUUAACAGCUUUACUAUGAUUACUUAGUAUUCCCUGAUUGGCUAACUACUACUGUAUUAAUUAGUUAGGUUAGUGAAGGAAAAGGUUCUCAUGGACUAUUUUAAAUUGUGAACCAUGCUAUUACAUCCAUUACCUGAUAGUUUUGAUUGUUUUGGCAGAAAAGUUGUAAAUUAAUGUAAAAGUUACUGCCACAACCAUCAUAAGAAUAUACUACUCUGCCUCCAAAUGUCUGUACCCAUGAACACUAAGUAUAGCAUUGGUUCCACAGUGUGGUCCCUUGCUGGACCAUCAACAUCAGAUCACCUGGGAACUUGUGAGCAAUACAGAUUCACCAACUCAUCCCAGACCUUUUGAAACAUGGGCAGCAGUCUGUUUCUAACAAGCCCUUCAGGUAUUUGUGAUGCAUGUUAGAGUUUGAAACACACCAGUACACUAUCCUGACAUAAGGAAAUAGUACCUCAUUGUCUUAAAUUACCCUAGAUGUGGAAUUUUUGAACACCUUUUAACAACCAUGGGCUAAGUAGUAGGUUUUACCUGUCUGGAUUAGUCCAUUCCCAACCUAGUGAUUGUUUAUAUAAUGGCUGACCAUUGUCCUUAAUUAGAGCAGUUAGUGCAUCAAAAAGUUAGUGUGGAAUCUGUCACAGUAGUCAUCAUAGACUUAGGCAUUUCAGCACAAUUUACAGUUUGAUAGUCAUUUUAGGUAGCAGAAUCAAAGUAAAUUUUCAUGUAAAAAGUUAUACAAGAGUACUGUUUUUAAACUAAAUUAUUUCAUUGAUGAGAUGAAAGUUUCUGUUAAAUUCCCAGGGAAGAAUAGUAUUGUUUAUUUUUAUAACAUUUUAGUAGUGGUCUUUAGCAUCUAUUUUUGAUGGCUAAGUACAUUUUCCUAAAAUAAAAA
Non-coding RNA from Manis javanica (Malayan pangolin), 3165 nucleotides. NCBI's taxonomy places the organism in Eukaryota, Metazoa, Chordata, Mammalia, Pholidota, Manidae. The record is from RefSeq and is a predicted model, not a curated record.